AGGCUGGAGUGCAAUGGCAUGAUCUGGGCUCACUGCAACAUCCACCUCCCUGAUUCAAGCAAUUCUCCUGCCUUAGCCUCCUGAGUACCCUGGGAUUACAGGAAGUUCAAGCUGCUAGAUGGACAGGUCAAAUGAAGAAACAGAUGCCUGACCACUACUAAGCUGUAACUGAUACUGCAGUUGAGAUACAAGAUGUGAAUCUAAAAGAAAUCACCUCGGAUGUCUAGCCCUGUCCUCAAAUAAUUUCAGCUCGGCUGUCUCAUGACUACAACCAUACAAGAAACCCCAACAGCCAACAUAUGGAAACAACCUAAAUGUCUGUCGACAGGUGAAUGAAUAAAGAAAAUGUGGUAUAUACAUACAGCAGAAUAUUGUUCAGUCUUAAAAAAGAAGGAAACCUUACAAUAUGCAGCAUCAUGAAUGAACAUGGAGGACAUUAUGCUAAAUGAAAUAAGCCAGUCACAGAAGGAACAGACACUGCCUGAUUCCAAUCGUAGGAGAUAACUAGUAUUGUCAAAUUUAUAAAAUUGACAAGAGAAUGGUAGUUGCUAGUGGGUGAGCAGAGGGGAAGAUGAGGAGUUAUUGUUGAAUGUGUAUAAAGUUUUAAUUAUGCAAGAUGAGUAAGUUCUAGCGAUCUAUUGUACAACCUUGUGCCUAUAGUUAACAAUGAUGUAUUGUGGAUGUAAAAAUUUGUUAAAGAGGAUACAUCUCAUAUUGUUUUCUUACCACAGUAAAAAAAAAAAGAAACAAAUAAACAAGAAUGUAUAUAGUACUGAAAACUGUAUGUCUGAUGAUUAAAAAUUAAGAAUAUCCUCAAUACCACAUAAUUUACACAAUAGAUACAAAAGGUGUUGGCAACAAAGCAUGUCUGUCAACUUGGCUUAAAUUUUAAUCAUAAUCUCUCAAAGUCUUGAGAGAAGGCUAUGUUUUGUUCGUGUCAUUGUUAUUGUUGUUGUUUGACUCUAAAGAAUAAAUGAGAUCUUGGUAAAUUUUUGUUAUAUGCAAUACGUAUCUAAG
Molecule: long non-coding RNA, 1017 nt
Filed under: Homo sapiens (human)
Lineage: Eukaryota; Metazoa; Chordata; Mammalia; Primates; Hominidae
Description: HSALNT0376800
Source: RNAcentral